AAACUUUCAACAACGGAUCUCUUGGUUCUCGCAUCGAUGAAGAACGCAGCGAAAUGCGAUACGUAAUGUGAAUUGCAGAAUUCCGUGAAUCAUCGAAUCUUUGAACGCACAUUGCGCCCCUUGGUAUUCCGGGGGGCAUGCCUGUUUGAGCGUCAUUU
RNAcentral lists this ribosomal RNA (158 nucleotides) under Vanderwaltozyma polyspora. Its description in RNAcentral is "5.8S ribosomal RNA". It matches the Rfam family "5.8S ribosomal RNA". From Rfam's summary of the family: 5.8S ribosomal RNA (5.8S rRNA) is a component of the large subunit of the eukaryotic ribosome. It is transcribed by RNA polymerase I as part of the 45S precursor that also contains 18S and 28S rRNA. RNAcentral also lists the same sequence under 1 other name. Lineage: Eukaryota; Fungi; Ascomycota; Saccharomycetes; Saccharomycetales; Saccharomycetaceae. The record is from RNAcentral.